UCGUAAUUGAUAUCAUAAAUAAAGUAACAAAAUAACACUGUUCAAACCAUAAGGCUCAUCAAAAUAGCAAAUCACAGUGAAGAAAAGGGUAGAAAGGGCUAGGGUAGGAAACAAUUCUGAUGAAGAAAGGGGCUCACAAGAAGAAAUGUCUGUCCAGCAACAGAAGGAAGAAGAAAUAGUCAUGGCAAAGCCAAAGGAAGGACAAACAACUCUGAAAGGGAAAGAAACGACUCAGGGUUCUUACAUUUUACCAUGUCAGUGUGAAUGGGUAAGAACAUUAAUGUUAAAAUUGGCCCAGUCUGAAGUUGGUUUUAAAAAAUAAAUAAAAAGUCAAGUUUUUAGGGUUUUGAGAAAAAGGGUUGAGUGUGGUCCAUCCUGCUUUUGUGUGCGUGCCGGCUGCACCAGACUCGCGCAAAUUGCAACCCAAAAGCGAUUCUACCGAUACAGACUAAGAGAAAUUCCAAUGAUACAACAACCGAUUCUGGAGCAAAAAAGGUUCCACGUCCGAUUUGCAUCGUCUGGGAAUCAUUCUGUAUCAAAUUGUGAUUCAUAUUAUACGAUCCAUACAAUAGUAAGUUAGUAACUACCAUG
Molecule: long non-coding RNA, 591 nt
Filed under: Lupinus angustifolius (narrow-leaved blue lupine)
Lineage: Eukaryota; Viridiplantae; Streptophyta; Magnoliopsida; Fabales; Fabaceae
Description: long non-coding RNA (LANG_LNC001048)
Source: RNAcentral